GGUUUGAAGUUUUGGAAACAAUGGAUUUUGAACAUCUAUAAAGACGUUCGACUCGUUAUCAAACUC
This 66-nucleotide transfer RNA is filed under the name Pheretima okutamaensis. Its description in RNAcentral is "tRNA-Ser2". Lineage: Eukaryota; Metazoa; Annelida; Clitellata; Crassiclitellata; Megascolecidae. The record is from RNAcentral.